This 500-nucleotide long non-coding RNA is filed under the name Homo sapiens (human). Its description in RNAcentral is "HSALNT0347436". Lineage: Eukaryota; Metazoa; Chordata; Mammalia; Primates; Hominidae. The record is from RNAcentral.
CAAUAUCCAGCCCAGGUUUGACCUUGACAACUGGGAAGGAGAAAUAACAGGAGGCGCAGUUACUGAUAUAGCCAAGGUGGGACACUACUGGAGGGAGCUAGAAGGGAUCAGCCAGCCAUGCCUCCAGUUCAGGUACUUGGCAUUGCUAAGCUCAGAACAGGACUUGCCAGUGUCUAGAUGAAAAAGAGGAGAGAUCUCAAGAGAAUCAUCUCAUCCAUGUAAGCCCUCAGCACUGGAUCCACCCAGCGGAUUCUUCUCCAUGACAUCUUGGUGGGUCUCCAGACACGCAUUUGGCUUCCAUGGGAUGAUGUUUCCAGAUCAGACCCUUGCUCUGCUCCCGAGCUGUGAACCAGAUCACAGGAGCAGAGGGUGAACUGUCUUGUUUCAGCCUAGGACUCUGAGAAUACUCUACCAGCCGAACACUUCCACAAGGAAACACAAUUGGUGGUAACAACUCUCAGAGGAAAGGGAAAUAAAACUGCUUCUUGCUUUCAAGAUCA